Molecule: ribosomal RNA, 500 nt
Filed under: Rhamphiophis rostratus
Lineage: Eukaryota; Metazoa; Chordata; Lepidosauria; Squamata
Description: partial 16S ribosomal RNA
Rfam family: Bacterial large subunit ribosomal RNA
Source: RNAcentral
AACCUUUAGCCAAACAAGUAUUAAAGGCAACGCCUGCCCAGUGAACAAUUAAACGGCCGCGGUACCCUAACCGUGCAAAGGUAGCAUAAUCAUUUGUCUAUUAAUUGUAGACCUGUAUGAAAGGCAAAAUGAGGGCCUAACUGUCUCUUAUAAUCAAUCAAUUAAACUGAUCUCCCAGUACAAAAGCUGGGAUACAACCAUAAGACCAGAAGACCCUGUGAAGCUUAAACUAAACUAUUAAUCCCAAUAAUAACUACUUUCGGUUGGGGCGACCUUGGAAAGAAAAAGAACUUCCAACUAAAACAAAACCACAACAGGCCAACAAGCCAACAACGACCCCAGCAACGCUGAUUAACGAAAUAAGUUACUCCAGGGAUAACAGCGCCAUCUUCUUCAAGAGCCCAUAUCAAAAAGAAGGUUUACGACCUCGAUGUUGGAUCAGGACAUCCUAAUGGUGCAGAAGCUAUUAAGGGUUCGUUUGUUCAACGAUUAACAGUCCC